AUUUAAAGUCUAGCCUGCCCACUGAAAUUAAUUUUAAUGGCCGCAGUAUUUUGACUGUGCAAAGGUAGCAUAAUCAUUAGUUUUUUAAUUGAAAGCUUGUAUGAAAGGUUGGACGAGGUAAAAUCUGUCUCUAUUUAAUUUAUUUUAGAAUUUAAUUUUUAAGUUAAAAAGCUUAAAUUUUAUUAAAAGACGAGAAGACCCUAUAGAUCUUUAUAAUUUUUGUUAUAAAUUUAAUUAUGAAUUAUUUAGAAUUUAUAAUAUAAAUUAUUUUAUUGGGGUAAUAAAAAGAUUAAAAUAAUUCUUUUUUAUUUUUAACAUUAAUUUAUGAAUUUAAUGAUCCAAUUUUAUUGAUUAUAAGAUUAAGUUACCUUAGGGAUAACAGCGUAAUUUUUUUAGAGAGUUCAUAUCGAUAAAAAAGUUUGCGACCUCGAUGUUGGAUUAAAGAUUAGUUUAGGUGUAGAAGUUUAAAUUUUUGGUCUGUUCGACCAUUAAAUCUUUACAUGAUCUGAGUUCAGACCGGCGUAAGCCAGGUCGGUUUCUAUCUUUAAUAAUUUUAAAAUAUUUUAGUACGAAAGGACCAAAUAUUUAAUAUAUUUAUAUUUUAUUUUUUGAAUAUUAUUAAAUUGUUUUGGCAGAUUAGUGUAAUGAAUUUAGAAUUCAUAAAUGUAAUUAUUUUUACAAACAAUACUUGUUUUAUAUAGAUUUAAUUUUUUCUUUAAUUUGUAUAUUUUUAUUAAUUAUUUGUGUUUUAGUUGGGGUAGCAUUUUUAACUUUAUU
RNAcentral lists this ribosomal RNA (777 nucleotides) under Pseudomigadops n. sp. MSL2007. RNAcentral's name for it is "partial 16S ribosomal RNA". The stretch from base 1 to 570 matches the Rfam family "Bacterial large subunit ribosomal RNA", at positions 1845 to 2925 of the family's 2925-position model. Lineage: Eukaryota; Metazoa; Arthropoda; Insecta; Coleoptera; Carabidae. The record is from RNAcentral.